RNAcentral lists this ribosomal RNA (708 nucleotides) under Caulobacter henricii. RNAcentral describes it as "bacterial SSU rRNA". It matches the Rfam family "Bacterial small subunit ribosomal RNA", at positions 8 to 761 of the family's 1533-position model. The record is from RNAcentral. Lineage: Bacteria; Pseudomonadati; Pseudomonadota; Alphaproteobacteria; Caulobacterales; Caulobacteraceae.
AGAGUUUUGAUCAUGGCUCAGAGCGAACGCUGGCGGCAGGCCUAACACAUGCAAGUCGAACGGAUCCUUCGGGAUUAGUGGCGGACGGGUGAGUAACACGUGGGAACGUGCCUUUUGGUUCGGAACAACUCAGGGAAACUUGAGCUAAUACCGGAUAAGCCCUUCGGGGGAAAGAUUUAUCGCCAUUAGAGCGGCCCGCGUAGGAUUAGCUAGUUGGUGGGGUAAAGGCCCACCAAGGCUACGAUCCUUAGCUGGUCUGAGAGGAUGAUCAGCCACAUUGGGACUGAGACACGGCCCAAACUCCUACGGGAGGCAGCAGUGGGGAAUCUUGCGCAAUGGGCGAAAGCCUGACGCAGCCAUGCCGCGUGAAUGAUGAAGGUCUUAGGAUUGUAAAAUUCUUUCACCGGGGACGAUAAUGACGGUACCCGGAGAAGAAGCCCCGGCUAACUUCGUGCCAGCAGCCGCGGUAAUACGAAGGGGGCUAGCGUUGCUCGGAAUUACUGGGCGUAAAGGGAGCGUAGGCGGAUAGUUUAGUCAGAGGUGAAAGCCCAGGGCUCAACCUUGGAAUUGCCUUUGAUACUGGCUAUCUUGAGUACGGAAGAGGUAUGUGGAACUCCGAGUGUAGAGGUGAAAUUCGUAGAUAUUCGGAAGAACACCAGUGGCGAAGGCGACAUACUGGUCCGUUACUGACGCUGAGGCUCGAAAGCU